GCUAGUUUACACAUAUUUAUAUUGAGUUUGAGACAUUUCUUUAUUGGUGAAAACAACAUGGAACUCUACUCACUUCCUUUAUUGUUUAGGCUACCAAUCUUCAUUUCAGAGGUGCAAGGAUAUUUGAUGCAGUAAUUGAGGAUUUGUUAGCAAGAGGAUUAAAGGAUGCAAAGAAUGGAUCUAUCAAAGUGUUACCAAAAUCAUGCACUUCAAAAAUGAAACCAGAAUUGGUGGACAGUAUUAUAGGCUCAAAUAUAGGCGAAUGCAUUCGAGCCCGAAACUGCACUGAAAGUCAGAACAAUGACUUCAAAGGUCUGUA
Nicotiana tabacum (common tobacco) is the source of this 319-nucleotide non-coding RNA. The record is from RefSeq and is a predicted model, not a curated record. Lineage: Eukaryota; Viridiplantae; Streptophyta; Magnoliopsida; Solanales; Solanaceae.